RNAcentral lists this ribosomal RNA (253 nucleotides) under uncultured bacterium. Its description in RNAcentral is "partial 16S ribosomal RNA". It matches the Rfam family "Bacterial small subunit ribosomal RNA", at positions 524 to 776 of the family's 1533-position model. The record is from RNAcentral.
UACGUAGGGUGCAAGCGUUGUCCGGAAUUAUUGGGCGUAAAGAGCUCGUAGGCGGUCUGUCGCGUCGGCUGUGAAAACCUAGGGCUCAACCCUGGGCCUGCAGCCGAUACGGGCAGACUAGAAUUCGGUAGGGGAGACUGGAAUUCUCGGUGUAGCAGUGAAAUGCGUAGAUAUCGAGAGGAACACCAGUGGCGAAGGCGAGUCUCUGGACGACUCCUGACACUGAGGCACGAAAGCUAGGGGAGCAAACAGG